Molecule: long non-coding RNA, 570 nt
Filed under: Homo sapiens (human)
Lineage: Eukaryota; Metazoa; Chordata; Mammalia; Primates; Hominidae
Description: non-protein coding lnc-ATP6V1E2-10:2
Source: RNAcentral
UGGUACAAAAACAGAUACAUAGACCAAUGGAACAGAAUAGAAAACCCAGAAAUAAAGCCACACACCUACAACAAUCUGAUUUUCAACAAAGUCAACAAAAAUAGGGAAUGGGAAAAGGACUCCCUAUUCAAUAAAUGGUACUAGGAUAGCAAGAACUUAACAUAGAGCUACCAUUUGACCCAGCAAUUUCAUUAUUGGGUGUAUACCCAAAGGAAUAGAAAUCAUUCUGCCAUAAAUACACAUGAAUGUGUAUGUUCAUCAUAGUGUAAAAAGUAAAGCAGAGGUUCCUCUUCAAAGACUUUCCUCCCCAUUUAAUUAGGAAAAAAUAGUAACUUCUCUUAGAAGCAAAAUUUAUUCAAAGACCUGUGCUAGCAGUCCUAAAUUAUUAUCCUAAGCAACUUAACACAGGAACAGAAAACCAAAUGCUGCAUGUUCUCAUAAGUGGAAGCUGAACAUUGAGUACACAUGGACACAAAUAAGGGAACAACAGACCCCAGGGCCUACUUGAGGGUGGAGAGUGGGAGUUACCUGUUGGGUGUUACGCUGAGUACUUGGGUGACAAAAUUAUCU